CAUAAUGUUAGCGUCAUUAAGUUGUUUUCUACCUUUCUGAUGACAGACAUUGCAGAUGAUAUGUCCACAGGUGGUGACCGCCAGUUUUCUGUCAGCACUGGGACAAAGGAAGCAGGAGUUGCAGCAGAUCCAGUCUCACCAGCCUCUCUCCAGCAAAUACAGAAAACCUUGUGGAGUUGGUUUGGAAGCAAAGGUAGUGCUGACCAGAGGCGUGCGAUGUGAAGCUGAAUUUGAAAUGAAAGUGAAGAUCUUUUAUACAUUUCGGCCACUUGAGUGAAGUCCUGUUCUU
Long non-coding RNA from Eleginops maclovinus (Patagonian blennie), 289 nucleotides. RefSeq lists it as uncharacterized. The transcript has 3 exons. The record is from RefSeq and is a predicted model, not a curated record. Lineage: Eukaryota; Metazoa; Chordata; Actinopteri; Perciformes; Eleginopidae.